UACGUAGGUGGCGAGCGUUGUCCGGAAUUACUGGGUGUAAAGCGCGUGUAGGCGGGAGGCCAAGUCUGCGGUGAAAUCGCUCGGCUCAACUGGGCGGGGUCCGUGGAAACUGGUCACCUGGAGGACGGUAGAGGCGAGUGGAAUUCCCGGUGUAGUGGUGAAAUGCGUAGAGAUCGGGAGGAACACCAGUGGCGAAGGCGGCUCGCUGGGCCGGACCUGACGCUGAGACGCGAAGGCGUGGGGAGCGAACGGG
RNAcentral lists this ribosomal RNA (253 nucleotides) under uncultured bacterium. RNAcentral describes it as "partial 16S ribosomal RNA". It matches the Rfam family "Bacterial small subunit ribosomal RNA", at positions 524 to 776 of the family's 1533-position model. The record is from RNAcentral.